GAUGAAGAACGUAUCGAAAUGCGAUAAGUAAUGUGAAUUGCAGAAUUCAGUGAAUCAUCGAAUCUUUGAACGCACAUUGCGCCCGCCAGUAUUCUGGCGGGCAUGCCUGUUCGAGCGUCAUUUCAACCAUCAAGCCCCGGGCUUGUGUUGGGGACCUGCGGCUGCCGCAGGCCCUGAAAUGCAGUGGCGGGCUCGCUGUCACUCCGAGCGUAGUAGUUACAUCUCGCUCUGGGCGUGCUGCGGGUUCCGGCCGUUAAAAGCCUUAUUUACCCAAGGUUGACCUCGGAUCAGGUAGGAAGACCCGCUGAACUUAAGCAUAUCAAUAAGCGGAGGA
RNAcentral lists this unclassified non-coding RNA (334 nucleotides) under soil metagenome. RNAcentral describes it as "partial contains 5.8S ribosomal RNA, internal transcribed spacer 2, and large subunit ribosomal RNA". The stretch from base 1 to 120 matches the Rfam family "5.8S ribosomal RNA", at positions 35 to 154 of the family's 154-position model. The record is from RNAcentral.